AACCAGGAAAGUUAAGUCAUAUUUCUAACGGUAAAAAGAUAGUUAAAUAAGCACAAAAGUUUAUUUAUUAUUUAUAAAGAGGUAAAAUUUUUAUAUAAAUAUAUAAUUUAAUUUUAACUUAAGUAUUGAAGCUAUGAUAGCCUUGAGGGAAACCGGGAUCAGAUACCCCGUUAUUCUUGGCUGUAAAUAAAUAAUGAUUUACCAGAGUACUACGAAGCAUAAAAGUUUAAAACUCAAAGAGCUUGGCGGUGUUUUAGACCCUUCAGGGGAACCUGUCUCGUAAUCGAUAAUCCACGUUAGACCUGACCUUUUUUUGCCCUCAGUUUGUAUAUCGUCGUCGAAAGGUAACUUUUAAGAAACGAUUAGUUAGCAACAAAUUAUGUAAGUUUAGACGUCAGAUCAAGGUGCAACUUAUAAAAAGGGGAAGAUGGGUUACAAUUAUUUAAUUAUAAUAACGGAUUAAUACUUGAAUAAGUAUUUUUAAGGAGGACUUGAAAGUAAAUUAUAUUAUAUAAAUAUUUUGAACAAGGCUCUGAAAUGU
Molecule: ribosomal RNA, 541 nt
Filed under: Haustrum albomarginatum
Lineage: Eukaryota; Metazoa; Mollusca; Gastropoda; Neogastropoda; Muricidae
Description: partial 12S ribosomal RNA
Source: RNAcentral